GGACCCGUAGCUCAGUUGGAUUAGAGCGUCAGACUACGGAUCUGAAGGUCGGAGGUUCAAGCCCUCUCGGGUCCGCCA
RNAcentral lists this transfer RNA (78 nucleotides) under Bdellovibrionales bacterium RIFOXYD1_FULL_53_11. RNAcentral's name for it is "tRNA-Arg". It matches the Rfam family "tRNA". Rfam says of the family: Transfer RNA (tRNA) molecules are approximately 80 nucleotides in length. Their secondary structure includes four short double-helical elements and three loops (D, anti-codon, and T loops). Further hydrogen bonds mediate the characteristic L-shaped molecular structure. tRNAs have two regions of fundamental functional importance: the anti-codon, which is responsible for specific mRNA codon recognition, and the 3' end, to which the tRNAs corresponding amino acid is attached (by aminoacyl-tRNA synthetases). tRNAs cope with the degeneracy of the genetic code in two manners: having more than one tRNA (with a specific anti-codon) for a particular amino acid; and 'wobble' base-pairing, i.e. permitting non-standard base-pairing at the 3rd anti-codon position. Lineage: Bacteria; Pseudomonadati; Bdellovibrionota; Bdellovibrionia; Bdellovibrionales. The record is from RNAcentral.